This 1162-nucleotide ribosomal RNA is filed under the name Chaetocladium jonesii. RNAcentral's name for it is "SSU rRNA". It matches the Rfam family "Eukaryotic small subunit ribosomal RNA", at positions 38 to 1190 of the family's 1831-position model. Lineage: Eukaryota; Fungi; Mucoromycota; Mucoromycetes; Mucorales; Chaetocladiaceae. The record is from RNAcentral.
CAAAGAUUAAGCCAUGCAUGUCUAAGUAUAAAUAAAUUUAUAUUGUGAAACUGCGAAUGGCUCAUUAAAUCAGUUAUGAUCUACGUGACAUAUUCUUUACUACUUGGAUAACCGUGGUAAUUCUAGAGCUAAUACAUGCAAAAAAGCCCUGACUUCGGAAGGGGUGCACUUAUUAGAUAAAACCAACACUGGGUAAAACCAGCUUCCCUUGGUGAUUCAUAAUAAUUUAGCGGAUCGCAUGGCCUUGUGCUAGCGACAGUCCACUCGAUUUUCUGCCCUAUCAUGGUUGAGAUUGUAAGAUAGAGGCUUACAAUGCCUACAACGGGUAACGGGGAAUUAGGGUUCGAUUCCGGAGAGGGAGCCUGAGAAACGGCUACCACAUCCAAGGAAGGCAGCAGGCGCGCAAAUUACCCAAUCCCGACACGGGGAGGUAGUGACAAUAAAUAACAAUGCAGGGCCUUUAAGGUCUUGCAAUUGGAAUGAGUACAAUUUAAAUCCCUUAGCGAGGAUCAAUUGGAGGGCAAGUCUGGUGCCAGCAGCCGCGGUAAUUCCAGCUCCAAUAGCGUAUAUUAAAGUUGUUGCAGUUAAAACGUCCGUAGUCAAAUUUUAGUCUUUAGAUGAGGGUGGUCUGGUCUUCAUUGAUCAAACUCGCCUUUAUCGAGACUUUUUUUCUGGUUAUGCUGUGAAAAUGACCUCGGUUGUUUUUGCAGUCUCUUAUCCAGAUGAUUACCAUGAGCAAAUCAGAGUGUUUAAAGCAGGCUUUUAAGCUUGAAUGUGUUAGCAUGGAAUAAUGAAAUAUGACUAAAGUCCCUAUUUCGUUGGUUAAGGAACUUGAGUAAUGAUGAAUAGAAACGGUUGGGGACACUUGUAUUUGGGCGCUAGAGGUGAAAUUCUUGGAUUGCCCGAAGACAAACUACUGCGAAAGCAUUUGAUCCAGGACGUUUUCAUUGAUCAAGGUCUAAAGUUAAGGGAUCGAAGACGAUUAGAUACCGUCGUAGUCUUAACCACAAACUAUGCCGACUAGAGAUUGGGCUUGUUUAUUAUGACUAGCUCAGCAUCUUAGCGAAAGUAAAGUUUUUGGGUUCUGGGGGGAGUAUGGGACGCAAGGCUGAAACUUAAAGGAAUUGACGGAAGGGCACCACCAGGAGUGGAGCCUGCGGCU